CAACUAAUAUAAAGUAAUUAGGAGCAGUAUAGUCACUUCUCACAACUAAUAAUGUGUCCAAAAUUUUCUAAAUGAACACUUAUUUUGGGACGGAAUUAGUGCUAGGACAUUAAGCAGGGAAAACAUCAUCGUUUGAGGGAGCAAGGGGGCCUGCGCUCCCCCAGCUGACUACGCCUCACCGAGUUUGCACUUAAGAGAGAGAGCUUCAUCGAAAGCUCCAAACCACUUCAGCAAUCAUGUCAAUUAUUAAUCCACAUAGAGUAAGGCACACCAAAUUGACCUCUAUAUCUUGUAAUUGGCCAAAAUAGGCUGAAAUCUAAGCUUUUGGUAAUCAAAUCUCACAUAACUCAUCCCGUAGCACAUACGAUUUUUAUUUUCUAUCACAGACUAAAGAGAUUUGCUCUGACUUGUCUACAUUGUAGGGAGUUUUGUUGCCCUGAUGGAUAGGAUCCUCUGGAUCACCAAUUUUUCUAAAUGGCAAGGGCAAUAGUACUUUCUUUUAGCAAAAUCUAAUGCAAGAGUUUAUAUUUAUUGCAUAACACAAUUGGGAGCAUAGGGGCCAUGGCCCCUACGUGUCCCCACCGGCUCCGCCAUUACCUCCAGUGCUAUGUAAACUUGUUGUAUACACAACAAGGUGUUGGCGAUAGUUAGCUGCCAAUUCCAAUUCAUGAACUGCAAGUGCACGGAUUAAUUGUAACUUCUCCUUUAGUAUUCCCCUCAAGAUUUCUUAAUCCGUGGAACAAAUGGAAUGAUGGCUCUCACUUUAUAUUAAUCUUACUAACGAAAUCAAGAAAUAAUAUGAGUUGUGUAGAGAGACAAACUAAUCUAAACUAAACAAAAAGUAAAGGUUGAUACAAGAUAGAUAACAAAGAUAGAUAUGCCUUCCCUCUAUAGGAUCUAGGUUCACAUGAAUAUGCAUCUACUACACAAAAGGAUGCUACCUUCACUAGCUAUCACAGAGAUUAUGUGCUCACUCGUCCCUUUCCCUCCUGCAUAUUGUCACUAUGUAGGGAUAAUC
Molecule: long non-coding RNA, 1018 nt
Filed under: Setaria viridis
Lineage: Eukaryota; Viridiplantae; Streptophyta; Magnoliopsida; Poales; Poaceae
Description: long non-coding RNA (SVIR_LNC010995)
Source: RNAcentral